AGUGAACGCUGGCGGUAGGCCUAACACAUGCAAGUCGAACGGCAGCACAGUAAGAGCUUGCUCUUACGGGUGGCGAGUGGCGGACGGGUGAGGAAUACAUCGGAAUCUACUUUUUCGUGGGGGAUAACGUAGGGAAACUUACGCUAAUACCGCAUACGACCUACGGGUGAAAGCAGGGGAUCUUCGGACCUUGCGCGAUUGAAUGAGCCGAUGUCGGAUUAGCUAGUUGGCGGGGUAAAGGCCCACCAAGGCGACGAUCCGUAGCUGGUCUGAGAGGAUGAUCAGCCACACUGGAACUGAGACACGGUCCAGACUCCUACGGGGGGCAGCAGUGGGGAAUAUUGGACAAUGGGCGCAAGCCUGAUCCAGCCAUACCGCGUGGGUGAAGAAGGCCUUCGGGCUGUAAAGCCCUUUUGUUGGGAAAGAAAAGCAGCAGGUUAAUACCCCGCUGUUCUGACGGUACCCAAAGAAUAAGCACCGGCUAACUUCGUG
Molecule: ribosomal RNA, 492 nt
Filed under: uncultured bacterium
Lineage: Bacteria
Description: partial 16S ribosomal RNA
Rfam family: Bacterial small subunit ribosomal RNA
Source: RNAcentral